CACGUAGUUAGCCGGUGCUUAUUCUGCAGGUACCGUCAGUUCCACGGGGUAUUAGCCCGCGACGUUUCUUUCCUGCCAAAAGUGCUUUACAACCCGAAGGCCUUCAUCGCACACGCGGGAUGGCUGGAUCAGGGUUGCCCCCAUUGUCCAAAAUUCCCCACUGCUGCCUCCCGUAGGAGUCUGGGCCGUGUCUCAGUCCCAGUGUGGCUGGUCGUCCUCUCAAACCAGCUACGGAUCGUCGCCUUGGUGAGCCGUUACCUCACCAACUAGCUAAUCCGAUAUCGGCCGCUCCAAUAGUGCAAGGUCUUACGAUCCCCUGCUUUCCCCCUUAGGGCGUAUGCGGUAUUAGCUACGCUUUCGCGUAGUUAUCCCCCGCUACUGGGCACGUUCCGAUACAUUACUCACCCGUUCGCCACUCGCCGCCAGACCGAAGUCCGCGCUGCCGUUCGACUUGCAUGUGUAAAGCAUCCCGCUAGCGUUCAAUCUGAGCCAGGAUCAAACUCU
Molecule: ribosomal RNA, 504 nt
Filed under: uncultured Alcaligenaceae bacterium
Lineage: Bacteria; Pseudomonadati; Pseudomonadota; Betaproteobacteria; Burkholderiales; Alcaligenaceae
Description: partial 16S ribosomal RNA
Source: RNAcentral